Non-coding RNA from Pelobates cultripes (western spadefoot toad), 209 nucleotides. The record is from the annotation of a GenBank genome assembly. Lineage: Eukaryota; Metazoa; Chordata; Amphibia; Anura; Pelobatidae.
ACAUGACAUGUAUUUACAAAUUAUUUAUACCAGUAAGAAUAUGAACUGGGAUAGGAGACCAGAGUUCUGACUUAGGAAUGUAAAUUAGGUUAAGCUAAUUAUCCCCCGGGGUCCUUUAUUCUUAUCCCAGGACACUAACCUUGGACAUUACAAGAGAAAGGCUAGUUUCCCCAACCCCCAUGUUAAUACAAACUUAAAGCAAAAGUUAU